UACGUAGGGGGCUAGCGUUGUCCGGAUUUAUUGGGCGUAAAGCGUGCGUAGGCGGCUGCGCAAGUCGGUUGUGAAACCCCGGGGCUCAACCCCGGAACUGCAUCCGAUACUGCGUGGCUAGAGGUAGGUAGGGGAGAUCGGAAUUCCUGGUGUAGCGGUGAAAUGCGCAGAUAUCAGGAGGAACACCGGUGGCGAAGGCGGAUCUCUGGGCCUUACCUGACGCUCAGGCACGAAAGCUAGGGGAGCGAACAGG
Molecule: ribosomal RNA, 253 nt
Filed under: uncultured bacterium
Lineage: Bacteria
Description: partial 16S ribosomal RNA
Rfam family: Bacterial small subunit ribosomal RNA
Source: RNAcentral